UACAGAGGUCUCGAGCGUUAGGCGGAAUCACUGGGCUUAAAGCGUGUGUAGGCGGAUCGUUAAGUGCCUUGUGAAAUCCCACGGCUCAACCGUGGAACUGCUUGGCAUACUGGCGGUCUUGAGCAACCUAGGGGCGAGCGGAACAAAUGGUGGAGCGGUGAAAUGCGUAGAUAUCAUUUGGAACGCCAAAGGUGAAGACAGGUUGCUGGGGGUGUGCCGACGCUGAGACGCGAAAGCCAGGGGAGCAAACGGG
This 253-nucleotide ribosomal RNA is filed under the name uncultured bacterium. RNAcentral's name for it is "partial 16S ribosomal RNA". It matches the Rfam family "Bacterial small subunit ribosomal RNA", at positions 524 to 776 of the family's 1533-position model. The record is from RNAcentral.